AUUGAACGCUGGCGGCAUGCCUUACACAUGCAAGUCGAACGGCAGCACGGGUGCUUGCCCCUGGUGGCGAGUGGCGCACGGGUGAGUAAUACAUCUGAACAUGUCCUGUAGUGGGGGAUAGCCCGGCGAAAGCCGGAUUAAUACCGCCUACGAUCCACGGAUGAAAGCGGGGGACCUUCGGGCCUCGCGCUAUAGGGUUGGCCGAUGGCUGAUUCGCUAGUUGGUGGGGUAAAGGCCUACCAAGGCGACGAUCAGUAGCUGGUCUGAGAGGACGAUCAGCCACACUGGGACUGAGACACGGCCCAGACUCCUACGGGAGGCAGCAGUGGGGAAUUUUGGACAAUGGGCGAAAGCCUGAUCCAGCAAUGCCGCGUGUGUGAAGAAGGCCUUCGGGUUGUAAAGCACUUUUGUCCGGAAAGAAAUCCUUGACUCUAAUACAGUCGGGGGAUGACGGUACCGGAAGAAUAAGCACCGGCUAACUACGUG
RNAcentral lists this ribosomal RNA (486 nucleotides) under uncultured bacterium. Its description in RNAcentral is "partial 16S ribosomal RNA". It matches the Rfam family "Bacterial small subunit ribosomal RNA", at positions 30 to 507 of the family's 1533-position model. The record is from RNAcentral.